CCCAGGUGGAGUGGCACAAUAGAGAUCAAGGACCCUAGACUGGGUCUGUACUCCAUAAAUAGGGCGGUCCCUUCAACAUUUCCCUCAGGUGAGGCAGAGGUACCAACAAAGUUUUUAUGAACAUCAGAUCUUCGAAGAGGCAUGAUAUGAAAUAUGAGCAAACCAAAAGUUAAAGAAAUGUCAUGACUCUAGACUCUAUAGCUUGAAUUAGAACACAAGAAAGGGAA
RNAcentral lists this long non-coding RNA (227 nucleotides) under Capsicum annuum. Its description in RNAcentral is "long non-coding RNA (CANN_LNC020824)". The record is from RNAcentral. Lineage: Eukaryota; Viridiplantae; Streptophyta; Magnoliopsida; Solanales; Solanaceae.